Molecule: transfer RNA, 64 nt
Filed under: Meristata sp. BMNH 846556
Lineage: Eukaryota; Metazoa; Arthropoda; Insecta; Coleoptera; Chrysomelidae
Description: tRNA-Glu
Source: RNAcentral
AUUUAUAUAGUUUAAAUUAAAACAUUACAUUUUCAUUGUAAAAUCAGAUUAUUUCUUAUAAAUA